Myxocyprinus asiaticus (Chinese sucker) is the source of this 348-nucleotide long non-coding RNA. RefSeq lists it as uncharacterized. The record is from RefSeq and is a predicted model, not a curated record. The transcript is spliced from 3 exons. NCBI's taxonomy places the organism in Eukaryota, Metazoa, Chordata, Actinopteri, Cypriniformes, Catostomidae.
CGACUCAAAAGAGCACCACACCAUUGGAUGGACCGCGGUUAGAUGUCCGAUGCAAAGAAACCUGCAUAAUCACCCCCACGCAGCACCUUUUGCACUGACGUCAGCCACGCCCACUCAAGAAGGUCCCCCGGUUCAAGUCCCGUCUCACCCAGGGCCUUUCUCUGUGGAGUUUGCAUGUUCUCCCUGUGUUCGCGUGGGUUUCCUCCGGGUGCUAUGGUUUCCCCCAUAGUCCAAAAAGCAUGCAGCCCUGUGAUGGACUGGCCACCUGUCCAGGGUGUUUUCCUGCCUUCGGCCUGAGACAGCUGGGAUAGGCUCCAGCACUAUCAGUGACCCUACAUAGGACAAGCG